CCGCAGGAGGCGCGGCGCAGCGGCCGCCUCGCCCGGCGUAAAGAUGGCGGCGGUUUUAAAGAGACACGCACGCCGAAAAGGGGAGGCGCCGCAGCCCCCUGGGACGUGGCGGGGUCCCCCUGCGCCCCCCACAUGGCCCCCACGCCCUGAGCCCCCCCGGCGCCGCGCGGGCACAUGAGGAAGAGCCGGAGCGACCUGGCCAGGCCCGAGGAGCAGCCCCCGCCGGACCCCGGGUGCUGCAGCCGCUCCCCCCCCUCCCUGGCGAUGUUGGGUGCCGACCUGCACCGCGGGUGCCGGCGCCCCUCUGCCAGCCUCCAGGUGCCCCCCUGGAAGCCCCCGGCGCGGCCGCGCUCACCGGAGCCCAGCGGCCUCCCGCGCCCCACCACGCUGCCCCUCCGCGCCCCGCCGCGCAUCGCCGGCACCCACCCCGAGCCCCCCAGGUAGGGACGGGCUUGGGGCGGGGGGGACGUGUGGCACGAGGGUGUCACCAUGGCAGUGGGGGUCACGGUGGUGUUGGGGACCCCCCAGCUCUCCAGGCACUGAGCCGAGGGGGGGACACGUGGCACGAGGGUGUCACCACAGCAGUGGGGGUCCCAGUGGCAUCAGGGACCCCCCAGCUUUCCAGGUGCUGAAGGGGGACGCACACGUGUGGCACGAGGGUGUCACCAUGGCGGUGAGGGUCGGGGUGGCAUUGGGGACCCCCCAGUUUUCCAGGCACUGAGCCAGGGGGGGCCACGUGGCACGAGGGUGUCACCGCAGUGGCGGGGGUCCCAAUGGCACUGGGGACCCCCCAGCUCUCCAGGUGCUGAAGGGGGGGACACGUGGCACGAGGGUGUCACCGCAGUGGUGUGGGUCCCGGUGGCAUCGGGGGGACCCCGGC
Molecule: long non-coding RNA, 880 nt
Organism: Falco peregrinus (peregrine falcon)
Lineage: Eukaryota; Metazoa; Chordata; Aves; Falconiformes; Falconidae
Exons: 3
Source: RefSeq, a predicted model, not a curated record